GACGAACGCUGGCGGCGUGCUUAACACAUGCAAGUCGAACGGAAAGGCCUCUUUCGGGGGGUACUCGAGUGGCGAACGGGUGAGUAACACGUGAGUAACCUGCCCUUGACUUUGGGAUAACUUCAGGAAACUGGGGCUAAUACCGGAUAGGAGCUCCUGCUGCAUGGUGGGGGUUGGAAAGUUUCGGCGGUUGGGGAUGGACUCGCGGCUUAUCAGCUUGUUGGUGGGGUAGUGGCUUACCAAGGCUUUGACGGGUAGCCGGCCUGAGAGGGUGACCGGCCACAUUGGGACUGAGGUAAGGCCCAGACUCCUACGGGAGGCAGCAGUGGGGAAUAUUGCACAAUGGGUGGAGGCCUGAUGCAGCAACGCCGUGUGCGGGAUGACGGCCUUCGGGUUGUAAACCGCUUUCGCUCAUGACGAAGCUUUGUGUGACGGUAGUGGGUAAAGAAGCACCGGCUAACUACGUG
Molecule: ribosomal RNA, 467 nt
Filed under: uncultured bacterium
Lineage: Bacteria
Description: partial 16S ribosomal RNA
Rfam family: Bacterial small subunit ribosomal RNA
Source: RNAcentral